AACUGGGCGAAGGGUCAGGAGACUGACCUCACCUCUUUGCCCCACCCCUGGCUUGGAAAGAUGGGAUUGGAGGAGAACAGAAUGAAGACAAGCCCAUCCGAUCCAGAAGCCCUCUCGGGAACAUUGGAGAGAAACUGAAGAAUGCUGCAAAAGAUGAUGCAAUGACCUGUGUUAAGAAGGAAAAUGACACCAAAUGUUUUGUGUUGAGCUACAAAGUGUGUAUCUGGUAAAUGACCCCAUGACCUUAAGCUGGUCCAGGAAGGGUAUAUAAGAACAGCUCUGAACAGCAGAGACAGAUUGAGAGAUUCGACAGCAGCUGGGGCAGAGGACAAGAAGAGACAGAGCAGAUUUGGAGGGGUCAUCCCCCGUCCUGCUGGAUGGGGGAUGACAGGCAGUUUUUUGGAGAGAAGCAGAGCUAGACAAGUUUUCUCUAAAGCUUCACGAGUGGGGGCUCUGAUCAUUAAUUGCACAGAGGACGCCCAAACCAGGAUCUAAUACCAUAAUACUCACCGACAUCCCCAUCGAACCCUGAUGGAUGCACCGUCUCAUAAGUUCUAACGGAACUGGGUUUUAAAGGAACCGGUAAAUGGGACGGGCACGUGACAUGGCGCGCCAAACGUGGGGCUACGGAGUGAAGGUCUAAAUAUUAGAUACCGGGCUAUCCGACGUAGAACUGUCUUUUAGGCUGAUAAAAGCUUGCGCGCUAAGGACCUAUUAAGCUUAUAACCUUGGAGUGAAAACCGCACCAGUUUCUCGAAAAGGAAAGAAAUCUGGGAGAACGGACGAUCAACUUAAAAAGGUAUAAAGAAAAUACGGCAUUCCGACGCAAGAAAAGCCAAGGAUAAAAGCUAGGCAAAAAAUAAAAAUAAAUAAAGAAUAAGAAAAACUUUUAACCAGCCAUGGCAGAUAGAUCUUUCAAUAUCCUGUAACCGGAGCUUUCAGAAUGAGGCUGGAAAAGCUAGUAUGGAGCUGCGGCGGGGCGCUGUCCGGGUGCUGAGGCACAAGUGAGAUGCGAUUAAACGUCAUGGCUGGAUCAAAAUCUAGUGAAGGACUGAUAUGUAAGAAUCUGUGUGACUUGGGCCUCGUUUCUGGUAACACGGGGAGGUAUUUGUCACGAACUGUAAAGUAAUCAUGUUUCCUAGCUUCAUAGAAUCUCAUGUCGGGCAUCGUCAUGCGCAAUGGAGGCUAGAAGCCGGGAACAUGUUUAAUGUGUGAACCUCUGUGCUUAAGGGCUCCGUGAGGGGAGAAACCGUGCCGCCUGUAAAGGACGGACUUAUAACUGGGAGCAUUGGAACUCUGCUCCAAUUAAACUUUGUUUUUAGAGGAUCUGCUUGAAACAAGCACCUAGCUUCCGCUCUCGGCAGCCUGCAGAUAUGAGAAGCCACAGCUGAACAGAGAAAAAGCACUCAGUCAGCUGAGCAACAACAGACAAGCAGGAUGUGGUGACAUCACCCCUCCCCCUACUAGUUCUGUUGAGAAGGGAGAGUCCUGAACUAACAGCUCCGUAUGAUUCUGACCUGACAGACAGCUACACUAAUAAUGCGUAAGCAUUUUUAACCUCGCUACAUAUGGUGUUGUAGGCAGGAUCCAUGUAGUGCUGUCAAGUAGGUCCAUGGAUGUGAAGUUUGUGGCACCCUGCGCGGGAGUACGAGGACGCGCUGGUGGAAAGAGGGGGGAAGGUGUGACAGUGUGAGCGUUCUGUCACAGUGUCUUGAUUGAUAAUGCAUACUGGCCAUUUGGCUAAGGGGAUGUCCCUUUGGCUGAGUGGUUAGAGCGUAUGACUCCCACCCCGGGAGUCUCGGGAUCGAAUCCCGCCCGGGCCCUCAUUAAUCCACCUUGCCACACUUUAUAGUUUUUAGCGUAAGCUUCCCACCUGCAGCUACAAGCAGAGUUAGCUUGUUGCUGUUCAGGUGUGUGAGGAGAAUAUUUGAAGCUCUGCAGUAAAAGAUGUCUUCAGUCUGGAGGGAGAGAGUCUCUGCUUGAAGGUGGAGACUGAGAUGUUCCAACCAGCAGCUCAGCUGACCAGAUGGCAGUAGAAACUGGUGGAGAAGCAGGAACCCAGUUCUGAACCCUCAUGAACAAACAUCUGGUUCUUCAGAGACUGAAGUGAGUGAUGAUGAUGAUGAUGAUGGUGUGUAUCUGGACUCUGAGCUAGUCAGACUCUGGGUCUGAGACUGGAGAUGAAGAUGAUCCAGAGGAGGAGGCAGCCCCACCCCAAAGAAGGCUGUUGCAGUCCCCUGGCUAGAUUUUUCUCGCAUGGGGGAUGUUGCGAGUCCCACAUGCCAAAGACAGUGGCAAGUACGGGGUCAGAAGGUGAGCCACACUGGACUGGCUUGUGCGAGCAAAAUCAGCCAGUCGACAGGAGCUGGGCUGCAGGUCAAAAAACUGUGGUCAGAAACAAGGGUCACACAAGGGUCACAGGGACAAGAGGACAGAACUGGGCGAAGGGUCAGGAGACUGACCCCACCUCUUUGCCCCACCCCUGGCUUGGAAAGAUGGGAUUGGAGGAGAACAGAAUGAAGACAAGCCCAUCCGAUCCAGAAGCCCUCUCGGGAACAUUGGAGAGAAACUGAAGAAUGCUGCAAAAGAUGAUGCAAUGACCUGUGUUAAGAAGGAAAAUGACACCAAAUGUUUUGUGUUGAGCUACAAAGUGUGUAUCUGGUAAAUGACCCCAUGACCUUAAGCUGGUCCAGGAAGGGUAUAUAAGAACAGCUCUGAACAGCAGAGACAGAUUGAGAGAUUCGACAGCAGCUGGGGCAGAGGACAAGAAGAGACAGAGCAGAUUUGGAGGGGUCAUCCCCCGUCCUGCUGGAUGGGGGAUGACAGGCAGUUUUUUGGAGAGAAGCAGAGCUAGACAAGUGAGUUCUUGGGGAGAUUCUGAGAAGACAAGAGCUGGUGUAAACUAACUCUUAUUUAAUCAUUUUGAACUAAUUCCUCCGUGGGGGAUAGCAGUUGUUUUUUCAUCUACCCAUUUUUGUAUUUUGAUUUUGUAAUAAACCUUUUUUGAAAAAGAAACAUAAUCCUGAUUCUUUCAGGUUUUCUCUAAAGCUUCACGAGUGGGGGCUCUGAUCAUUAAUUGCACAGAGGACGCCCAAACCAGGAUCUAAUACCAUAAUACUCACCGACAUCCCCAUCGAACCCUGAUGGAUGCACCGUCUCAUAAGUUCUAACGGAACUGGGUUUUAAAGGAACCGGUAAAUGGGACGGGCACGU
Non-coding RNA from Nothobranchius furzeri (turquoise killifish), 3213 nucleotides. NCBI's taxonomy places the organism in Eukaryota, Metazoa, Chordata, Actinopteri, Cyprinodontiformes, Nothobranchiidae. The record is from RefSeq and is a predicted model, not a curated record.